GCCUCGGUAGCUCAGCCUGGUAGAGCGAACGCCUCGUAAGCGUUAGGUCGCGAGAUCGAAUCUCGCUCGAGGCU
This 74-nucleotide transfer RNA is filed under the name Candidatus Nitrosopelagicus sp. RNAcentral's name for it is "tRNA-Thr". It matches the Rfam family "tRNA". From Rfam's summary of the family: Transfer RNA (tRNA) molecules are approximately 80 nucleotides in length. Lineage: Archaea; Thermoproteati; Nitrososphaerota. The record is from RNAcentral. RNAcentral also lists the same sequence under 2 other names.